UGGGGAAUUUUGGACAAUGGGCGAAAGCCUGAUCCAGCCAUGCCGCGUGAGUGAAGAAGGCCUUCGGGUUGUAAAGCUCUUUUAGUCGGAAAGAAAGAGUCGCAAUGAAUAAUUGUGAUUUAUGACGGUACCGACAGAAAAAGCACCGGCUACCUACGUGCCAGCAGCCGCGGUAAUACGUAGGGUGCGAGCGUUAAUCGGAAUUACUGGGCGUAAAGGGUGCGCAGGCGGUUUUGCAAGUCAGAUGUGAAAGCCCCGGGCUUAACCUGGGAAUUGCGUUUGAAACUACAAGGCUAGAGUGCAGCAGAGGGGAGUGGAAUUCCAUGUGUAGCAGUGAAAUGCGUAGAGAUGUGGAAGAACACCGAUGGCGAAGGCAGCUCCCUGGGUUGACACUGACGCUCAUGCACGAAAGCGUGGGGAGCAAACA
RNAcentral lists this ribosomal RNA (427 nucleotides) under uncultured beta proteobacterium. Its description in RNAcentral is "bacterial SSU rRNA". It matches the Rfam family "Bacterial small subunit ribosomal RNA", at positions 355 to 774 of the family's 1533-position model. Lineage: Bacteria; Pseudomonadati; Pseudomonadota; Betaproteobacteria. The record is from RNAcentral.